UAAGUACUCCCUCCGUCCAACAAAAGAUGUCUCAAAUUUGUCAAAUUUAAAUGUAUCUAGACAUGCCUUAGUGUAUAGAUGCAUUUAAAUUUAGUCAAAGUUGAGACAUCCUUUGUUGAACGGAGGAAGUAUGAU
This is a non-coding RNA of Brachypodium distachyon (stiff brome), 135 nucleotides long. NCBI's taxonomy places the organism in Eukaryota, Viridiplantae, Streptophyta, Magnoliopsida, Poales, Poaceae. The record is from Rfam.